RNAcentral lists this ribosomal RNA (484 nucleotides) under uncultured bacterium. RNAcentral describes it as "partial 16S ribosomal RNA". It matches the Rfam family "Bacterial small subunit ribosomal RNA", at positions 30 to 507 of the family's 1533-position model. The record is from RNAcentral.
AUUGAACGCUGGCGGCAGGCCUAACACAUGCCAGUCGAGCGGAUGAAGGGAGCUUUCUCCUGGCUUCAGCGGCGGACGGGUGAGUAAUGCCCAGGAAUCUGCCUGACAGUGGGGGCUAACGUCCGGAAACGAGCGCUAAUACAGCAUACGUCCUUAGGGAGAAAGUGGGGGAUCUUUGGACCUCAAGCUAUCAGAUGAGCCUAGGUCGGAUUAGCUAGUUGGUGGGGUAAAGGCUUACCAAGGCGACGAUCCGUAACUGGUCUGAGAGGAUGAUCAGUCACACUGGAACUGAGACACGGUCCAGACUCCUACGGGAGGCAGCAGUGGGGAAUAUUGGACAAUGGGCGAAAGCCUGAUCCAGCCAUGCCGCGUGUGUGAAGAAGGUCUUCGGAUUGUAAAGCACUUUUAGUUGGGAGGAAGGGAAGUAAGUUAAUACAUUGCUGUUUUGACGUUACCAACAGAAAAAGCACCGGCUAACUUCGUG